This 796-nucleotide ribosomal RNA is filed under the name uncultured bacterium. RNAcentral describes it as "bacterial SSU rRNA". It matches the Rfam family "Bacterial small subunit ribosomal RNA", at positions 59 to 865 of the family's 1533-position model. The record is from RNAcentral.
CAGUCGAACGGACUCAUACUGAAACCUAGUGAUUUAUGAGUUAGUGGCGCACGGGUGAGUAACGCGUGGAUAACCUGCCGUAUACCGGGGGAUAACACUUAGAAAUAGGUGCUAAUACCGCAUGAGCGCACAGCUCCGCAUGGGGCGGUGUGAAAAACUCCGGUGGUAUACGAUGGAUCCGCGUCUGAUUAGCCAGUUGGCGGGGUAACGGCCCACCAAAGCGACGAUCAGUAGCCGGCCUGAGAGGGUGAACGGCCACAUUGGGACUGAGACACGGCCCAGACUCAUACGGGAGGCAGCAGUGGGGAAUAUUGCACAAUGGGGGAAACCCUGAUGCAGCGACGCCGCGUGAGUGAAGAAGUAUCUCGGUAUGUAAAGCUCUAUCAACAGGAAAGAUAAUGACGGUACCUGACUAAGAAGCCCCGGCUAACUACGUGCCAGCAGCCGCGGUAAUACGUAGGGGGCAAGCGUUAUCCGGAUUUACUGGGUGUAAAGGGAGCGUAGACGGCAGCGCAAGUCUGGAGUGAAAUGCCGGGGCCCAACCCCGGAACUGCUUUGGAAACUGUGCGGCUCGAGUGCGGGAGAGGUAGGCGGAAUUCCUAGUGUAGCGGUGAAAUGCGUAGAUAUUAGGAGGAACACCAGUGGCGAAGGCGGCUUACUGGACCGUAACUGACGUUGAGGCUCGAAAGCGUGGGGAGCAAACAGGAUUAGAUACCCUGGUAGUCCACGCCGUAAACGAUGAUUACUAGGUGUCGGGGGACCAAGGUGCUCCGGUGCCGGCGCAAACGCAUUAAGU